AACCAAAAAGAAUUCUCAUUCAAGAAUAAAAGAAAAAAAAAUGAAUCCAAAGUGCAGAAGUUGAUAAAAGAUGUGGACUGCUCAAGACAUAAUUAAAGUCACAAGCUCUGCUUGUCUCGUCUUGAUCUAAAAAAGCUUAAGAAGAUUGAACCAACACCUGCAACUAACAAGCAUCAAGGUUUAGAUCAAAGUCCACAUGAAGAACCAACCAAGACUCAAGAUCAAGCUUCAGAAGACUUAUAGAUAGGAAUAUUGUAACUCGUAGUUGAUAGACUUAGUUAGUCUUUUUUUAAUUUUGAUUUUGAUGUAAUAACGGGACCGCAGACCAGAACCCCGAUGACACCUCAAGAGGCCCAAACUUUACAAAAAUACAGGCUGAAGGUAGAAGACCCAUAAUCGAGCCUAAAUGAAAACAAACUGACAUACAAACCAAAGAGAUAUGCCAAAUGAACUUGAUCGUCAAUAUCUAACAGCUUGACAUACAUGAAAUAUUAAUUGCUUUCAAAAACCAUCUUACAUUCGUUCCUUGCUAUCCAAUCCCAAUUUUAUGUUAAAUACUGAUAUUAUCAAAAAUAAAGCACACCAUAUAAAACUCAUCACUUAAUGCAAACCUUAAUGCGGUACAUCAUAUCUAAGCCCAUACUAAGCCCAUAUGGAUUGAUUUUAUGAAAACCUUCAGCAUUAAUCUCCUGGAUUCCUCUUCCUUAGUAUUCGUGUCCUAAUUUACACAUGCCGACAUAUUUAAGCACAGAAUAUAAACCAACGUAUGUUGAAUCUUCAUGCAUCAGCCUUCAAAUACUGCACAUAAUCACUAUUGUAGAAGAAAUUGUGUAUUCCUUUUCAAAGAGAAUGUGACAGCAUAUCCAACAGUCAACAUACACAAUAGAUUUCAACCAUUUUACAGGCUAACAUACUACCUUUAAACACCUAUUCCACCAUUACAAACACAACCUUAGGCUAAUAACAUAAAUAAGCAAGCAAUCUCAUGAAGCAAAGCUGAAUUACUAAAGAAUUAAAGGAGUUUAAUGACAUAAAAUGACAUUUGAUAAACAACAUGUCAUGAAACUUUCCAUCAGAUUAUGUAACUUCAGAUUUCCAACUCUUACACAUCUAGGGAUCUAGAAAGUACCUAGAAAUUACAAAAGGAAGAAGAGGUGAAAGCGAUGAAUAGCAACAUCAGGACAACAAUGAGACAAUAUCAGCAGAAAUCAACUCCACCAGCAAAAGAAUUGUAAGCCACCACCAAACUCAAGUAAAAAAAUUCUUUAACCAACAGAUUCAGUCCAUUUGUGAAGUCCAAACCAAUAAAAUGACAAAUCCUAGAGAAUCAGCCCCAAUUUCUAACUCAAACCAUUUUCAAACUCCAAAUGAAUCACAAGUUGCUUCAGAGGCUGAAAAUUUCAGGAAUCAAAGAAGGAAAUUCAAUAGAACAAUAUUUUUCUCUCAAAAGUUCUAGUUGUCUGUAUUUUGUAUUUUCAGCUCUUAAGUUCUCUGCCUUGAAAGGCAAGGUAAAGAUGCCUUUAUAGGCAAACAAAUAGGGCAGACCUAAAAGUUCAGUUUUGCACUUCUAGUACCUCUCUAAUUUUAUUUUUUGCUUAAUCUAAGAAGCUUCCUAAACAGUUAACAAAGAUUUCCUCACCUAAAUUCCCUAAAUUACCCCUGAAACCUUGUUAAUUAACCCAAAAGCCCAAACGGGUCAACUGGCUAAGCUAAAUGGGUUGUAGCCCCCAAAUUGGAUCCUUAUUUGGGCAUGUUGCUAUUUAUCAACCAACUAAGAAUACUUAGGGGCUCCGGAAUAAAACUAACCUAGAAUUUUCCCCAAAUGAAGAAAACCCAAACCCAAUUCUGUGAAAGCAAACUGAAACAAAAGCAAAAAAUGAAUGAAUUAACCACUAUAAUUUCAUAAUAACAAUUAACUAAUCAUUGACCUAAUUUUAUUAGCUAGAUGAUUUAACUAACGAUGAGACAACAAUUAGCUAUUAACAUAGAGAUUAAAACCAAGAGAAGAAAGUGUAUUAAAAGGAACUGAGAUAUUAUAGCUAACAAAGAAAAAAACGAGGAACCAGUUUGAACUACAGAAUACCCAAACAACAUUUGGACCAAUCCAAACAGAAGGGGAUGAGGAGGAAAAUGAACCACGGAAAGGAAAUCAAUCAAGAGAGGAAGAAAAACUUACCCAGUCACGCUCGAAUGAGGUCGCUUUUGAUAAAUCAAUAGGUUUUUAGUCUUGCAUAAGGCUGGUGGACUUCUUCAAAUUAUUGACCCGAAUAGCCCUUAAUCGUGUGUUUCCAUGUGAAAACACACGAAAAAAGGCCGUUACAGUCCAAAUUAUUCAAAAAACCGAUGAUUUGCACUUUGGUUUUUUAGGGUUCCUAUAUUCAAAUCAAGAUUCGAGAAGAUGCGGGAAGAUUCGAAGGAAAUGAAGUAUAUUUAUCGAAUGAGGGGGAGACGGGGGUUCAGGGUUGUUAAUUUGGUGGUAACUAGGACUGGUGCCGUCACCUUAAGGCGGUGGAAACAGAGGCGGCGGGCCAGGGUUUUUGGAUGGUCUCUGAGAUAGAGAGGAGUGAAGCAGACGAUGUAGAGGGGGAGAGUGAUUUAGACACUUAAUAUUUAAGUGUCCCCC
Molecule: long non-coding RNA, 2623 nt
Filed under: Nicotiana benthamiana
Lineage: Eukaryota; Viridiplantae; Streptophyta; Magnoliopsida; Solanales; Solanaceae
Description: long non-coding RNA (NBEN_LNC004999)
Source: RNAcentral